GGUCCCGUAGCUCAGCUGGAUAGAGCAUCUGCCUCCUAAGCAGAGGGUCAGGCGUUCGAAUCGCCUCGGGAUCACCA
Molecule: transfer RNA, 77 nt
Filed under: Desulfotalea psychrophila LSv54
Lineage: Bacteria; Pseudomonadati; Thermodesulfobacteriota; Desulfobulbia; Desulfobulbales; Desulfocapsaceae
Description: tRNA-Arg (CCT) (tRNA-Arg-CCT-1-1)
Rfam family: tRNA
About the family: Transfer RNA (tRNA) molecules are approximately 80 nucleotides in length. Their secondary structure includes four short double-helical elements and three loops (D, anti-codon, and T loops).
Source: RNAcentral